AACUCUGUGCCAGCAGCCGCGGUAAUACAGAGGGUGCGAGCGUUAAUCGGAUUUACUGGGCGUAAAGCGUGCGUAGGCGGCUUUUUAAGUCGGAUGUGAAAUCCCUGAGCUUAACUUAGGAAUUGCAUUCGAUACUGGAAAGCUAGAGUAUGGGAGAGGAUGGUAGAAUUCCAGGUGUAGCGGUGAAAUGCGUAGAGAUCUGGAGGAAUACCGAUGGCGAAGGCAGCCAUCUGGCCUAAUACUGACGCUGAGGUACGAAAGCAUGGGGAGCAAACAGGAUUAGAUACCCUGGUAGUCCAUGCCGUAAACGAUGUCUACUAGCCGUUGGGGCCUUUGAGGCUUUAGUGGCGCAGCUAACGCGAUAAGUAGACCGCCUGGGGAGUACGGUCGCAAGACUAAAACUCAAAUGAAUUGACGGGGGCCCGCACAAGCGGUGGAGCAUGUGGUUUAAUUCGAUGCAACGCGAAGAACCUUACCUGGCCUUGACAUACUAAGAACUUUCCAGAGAUGGAUUGGUGCCUUCGGGAACUUAGAUACAGGUGCUGCAUGGCUGUCGUCAGCUCGUGUCGUGAGAUGUUGGGUUAAGUCCCGCAACGAGCGCAACCCUUUUCCUUAUUUGCCAGCGGGUAAUGCCGGGAACUUUAAGGAUACUGCCAGUGACAAACUGGAGGAAGGCGGGGACGACGUCAAGUCAUCAUGGCCCUUACGGCCAGGGCUACACACGUGCUACAAUGGUCGGUACAAAGGGUUGCUACCUCGCGAGAGGAUGCUAAUCUCAAAAAGCCGAUCGUAGUCCGGAUCGCAGUCUGCAACUCGACUGCGUGAAGUCGGAAUCGCUAGUAAUCGCGGAUCAGAAUGCCGCGGUGAAUACGUUCCCGGGCCUUGUACACACCGCCCGUCACACCAUGGGAGUUUGUUGCACCAGAAGUAGGUAGUCUAACCGCAAGGAGGACGCUACCAUCGGUUGGCCCCAAAG
RNAcentral lists this ribosomal RNA (976 nucleotides) under Achromobacter sp. MBS-5. RNAcentral describes it as "bacterial SSU rRNA". It matches the Rfam family "Bacterial small subunit ribosomal RNA", at positions 499 to 1473 of the family's 1533-position model. Lineage: Bacteria; Pseudomonadati; Pseudomonadota; Betaproteobacteria; Burkholderiales; Alcaligenaceae. The record is from RNAcentral.